Molecule: long non-coding RNA, 1419 nt
Organism: Bombus pascuorum
Lineage: Eukaryota; Metazoa; Arthropoda; Insecta; Hymenoptera; Apidae
Exons: 2
Source: RefSeq, a predicted model, not a curated record
UCGAAUACGCCUUCGGUUUAAUACGUAUCUAGAUAUUAAAAUUCAGUAAUAAGCUUUAUCUCGUUCUUAUCGAGCGAGUAUAUCACGCGUCCUUGAGCAGUUGCACUCGCGAAAUCAUACCCUUCGCGAUAUCCACCACGAAAUUUCAUUUGACAGCUCUAUGGAUUAUUCAUAUUCCUCGGAGGAAUCGUACGAACAAUGACGUCAGACGCGUUGAAUACGACAGAAGCCGAAAUAUCGCGCGAGAAAUUUCUGACAAAAGAGGAGAGAUGCAAACGAUUGCAACGAUCAGUCUUGCAUAUACUUCCGAAAAUAAAUCCGUUGAUAUCGAGCAAAAAUCAAUGAUAUGUCAAGAAAUUCAUGCUCGUGGCAGCAUGAAAUAUAACGAAACGGGAAAAGCUGGAAUAAAAGAAGACAGUACGUGGGAAAAGUAAGUAGAGACAGCUUAGACCGAACGGAACGCCAAGAUACGGCUCGAUUCUAAAUUUGGUUGAACCACGAGAGAAAUGCAGACACACGAGUUGGGAAGAACUCUGGCAGUUACGCAGAGAAAAAGCCAGUGUAGAGGGGCAAGGUGUACUCGAACAGACCGUUCAUUGUUUGCAAUGGACCGCCUGUAUAUACGACUCGUUCUAAUUCCCUUCCUGUUUACGUUGUUCCACGACUAACUACUGUAGCCUGCUCUUUUCUGCUUGCCAGUUAAACGCGUUAGGUCAUACCUCGGAAGUAAUGUCGUUUCGGAAACCCAUUUCAAUGAAAAGAUAAUAGCAGUAAUAUAACUAAACCGUAUACAUUUAUGAAAAUUAUACGUUUACGAGCAGUGUGAGGGUUCCUGGAUGCAUCGAGUAAAACAUGGUACGAACAUGAUACAGACACUGCAACGCGGAUAGAUGUACACGAUGUUAACGGUUUACGUGCAACUCUGGAUCGCCACGGGUCAUAACUUUGAAUCGGAGGAGCGCAGGUGUCGCCGGAAGUCGUUUUACGAGCGAACGGAAACGUAAAUCGGAGUACGACCUUCGUCACGGGCCGGAGGAAACUGAAUACACGCUACACAUGACGGUGCCCAUCGAACAGUACUUAUUAUUUAUACGUCUCGAUCAAUUUUUACUAGAAGCGUCUGUGACAUAACCAAAGUUAUAUAGAAAAAAAGUGACAUUUACGAUGCAAAAAUUGUUGUUUCAUCUUCUUUUUAUUAAAAAUGAGAAUUUCAUUUCUCGCAUCUUUUGUUCAUAUUGGAAAAAAGAGUUUCAAGUAUCUGUAUAAGGUAGUAUUUACGGAUAUUAUUCCACACAGAAAUAUCGCAGUGUUUUUACGUAAUAAUAAAAGAAGAUCAGGUUCGAAUGUAAACAAGCUAAUUUGCCUAUGAUGUGCAAAAGUGCACUUGAUUUUUAAAUUAAGAACAUCUAAAUUACAAAA